CCUACGGGAGGCAGCAGUGGGGAAUAUUGCACAAUGGGGGAAACCCUGAUGCAGCGACGCCGCGUGAGUGAAGAAGUAUUUCGGUACGUAAAGCUCUAUCAGCAGGGAAGAAAAUGACGGUACCUGACUAAGAAGCCCCGGCUAACUACGUGCCAGCAGCCGCGGUAAUACGUAGGGGGCAAGCGUUAUCCGGAUUUACUGGGUGUAAAGGGAGCGUAGACGGCAGCACAAGUCUGGAGUGAAAUCCCAUGGCUUAACCAUGGAACUGCUUUGGAAACUGUGCAGCUAGAGUGCAGGAGAGGUAAGCGGAAUUCCUAGUGUAGCGGUGAAAUGCGUAGAUAUUAGGAGGAACACCAGUGGCGAAGGCGGCUUACUGGACUGUAACUGACGUUGAGGCUCGAAAGCGUGGGGAGCAAACAGGAUUAGAUACCCCUGUAGUC
RNAcentral lists this ribosomal RNA (440 nucleotides) under uncultured bacterium. RNAcentral describes it as "partial 16S ribosomal RNA". It matches the Rfam family "Bacterial small subunit ribosomal RNA", at positions 338 to 795 of the family's 1533-position model. The record is from RNAcentral.